GCCACCCUGUGUGUGUUUGAACCAGGAAAAAAUCUGAAACUGGUCAAGAAAGAACAAGGAAGACUUGCCAAAGCAAGGCCGACUCUUCAGCAGUAUAAAGUUUUCAUCAAGUCAAAUAUAUUCACUUUAAAGUGACUGUGCUUUAUUCUGAUACCAUGUCCUUCCUAAUUUGGGGGGCACAGCUGGAGAAAAUUCACUGGCAAUGGAAUAUUUAAAAUUAGAGCUUGCUUAGUGUGCUGCUUCUGAUCACUACUUGAUCCCACUUCGUGCUUUCAUGUUAAUUGGCCCAAUUGGACUCUACAGUUGGAAGGUGAAAACUUACUAUUUCAACUUGAGUCAC
This is a long non-coding RNA of Homo sapiens (human), 340 nucleotides long. RefSeq annotates it as TEX12 antisense RNA 1. Lineage: Eukaryota; Metazoa; Chordata; Mammalia; Primates; Hominidae. The transcript has 3 exons. The record is from RefSeq and is a predicted model, not a curated record.